Molecule: non-coding RNA, 182 nt
Filed under: Sulfitobacter dubius
Lineage: Bacteria; Pseudomonadati; Pseudomonadota; Alphaproteobacteria; Rhodobacterales; Roseobacteraceae
Description: Cis52_sRNA
Rfam family: Ruegeria cis52 sRNA
About the family: Cis-encoded. Targets oligo/dipeptide ABC transporter.
Source: RNAcentral
UGCGCAGGGCGUGUUUCAGCACGAUCUCAGAGAACUUCACGCCCUUAAGCCGCGCUGUGCGGAUAUAUUGCGCGGUCAUCACCUCGGUCAUCGAGGCCCGCGUCAUCCGCGCGAUAUAGCCCAUGCCGUAGAGCGAGAUGGUCAGCACCGGCAGGAAGAAGUUCCAAAAAUUUGCGUCUUUC